RNAcentral lists this long non-coding RNA (1308 nucleotides) under Piliocolobus tephrosceles (Ugandan red Colobus). RNAcentral describes it as "lncRNA (ENSPTEG00000002047.1)". Lineage: Eukaryota; Metazoa; Chordata; Mammalia; Primates; Cercopithecidae. The record is from RNAcentral.
GCAUUAAUUUAUGCAUUAAUUUUUUUUAUGUUUUUGAAAAAUUUUUCCAUAUUUUUUUUUUUUAUAUUUUUGGAAUUACUAAUGAAUGUAACAUAAAUUUUGGUACAGCUUCUUAAUUAAAGUGUAUAUUAUUUUAUAUAAAUUUUUGCGUUUUUUUUUUGAACAAAAUAUAAUAAAUUAAAAAUGGUUUUAAAAUUAUAAAUUAUUUUUAAAAUCAUUUCACAAAUAAUAAAGACUUUGUUAAUAAAAAGAAGAAAUACAAACACUAAUAUAAGUAUUUAUAUAAGUAUUUAUAUAAGUAUUUCUAUAUGCAUAUAUCUAUAUUUUGAAUUUUUCUAUUUUUAAAUAAACUUUGGAUAUAUAUGUCAUGGUAAACCAUGGUAAAAUAUUUUUUUAUUAUUUAGUAUUCUGCUCACGUGUUUGUUUAGUCGUUCUUUCGCUUGUCCUUCCGUCUGUUUGACAAUUUGCUUAUUCAUUUGUUAUUAUUAUUAUUAUUAUUUUAUUUAUUUUUUUUUUUUAUUGUUCCCCAUAAAUAUAUUUUUUAAAGAUGUCUGCAGAGGAAAUAAAAAAAAACGAUUAUGAAGACAUAUUGUUAAAAUUAUCAUUAACAAAUGAUGACAAAAUUGGAAAUGUGUUGUACAAAUUAAUUCCCAUUUUAUUAGAUGAAGUAUUAUUAUGUGAAAAGAGUUUUAAAGUUUUAUUAACAAAAAUAAUCAACCAUUGUAUGAUAAGAUGUAAAUCGAUAGAGAAUUUGCGUAUGCCUCUUGCUGAAAUAGCUUAUAAUCAUUUUAAAAAUAUUGAUAAUGUUAGCAGUGAUAGAAUAUUAUAUGACAAAAUAUUUUGUUUAUUUUUAGAUAUAGGGUUUAAAAGUAAGCAUGAUGAAGAGAAAUUAAAAUUUCUAAAAGCAAUAAUUGAAAAUAGUGAAAAACUUCGUGUACAUAAAUCUAUUAGUAUAUUUCUUAUAAUAAAAUUUGCUGAAAGUUUAGAAAUUUUAAACGAUAGUAAUAAUAAAAAAUAUAUGGAAGAAUUUAUUUUGAAUCAUUUAAGAAAAGUAGUUAAUGAUGUAGACAAUGCUACAUCUAUUUUAAGUGCUAGUGCUAUUGCCAAUUUAGUGCUAGUACUAUCACUAAUGCUAGUUUAUAUGGUAGUACUAUUACUGAGAGUAAAGAAAUGAAAACCAAGUAUUCUCAUGAUAACCACACUAACCUAUUAGAUGAUAACAAGAUUUAUAAUUUUAUGAAAUGUUUAAAUGAAUUUUUAGCUUUUCCUAUUAAUAAUAAAAAUAUAGAAGAUAUAAAAUUUCUUUCA